Molecule: transfer RNA, 64 nt
Filed under: Teispes insularis
Lineage: Eukaryota; Metazoa; Arthropoda; Insecta; Coleoptera; Cerambycidae
Description: tRNA-Gly
Source: RNAcentral
AUUUAUAUAAUAUAAAAAUUAUAUCUGACUUCCAAUCAGAAAAUCUAGUAUUCUAGUAUAAAUA